Mustela erminea (ermine) is the source of this 3511-nucleotide long non-coding RNA. RefSeq lists it as uncharacterized. Lineage: Eukaryota; Metazoa; Chordata; Mammalia; Carnivora; Mustelidae. The transcript has 4 exons. The record is from RefSeq and is a predicted model, not a curated record.
CCGGAAAAAUGCUAUUUUUAAGUGAUUUGUGAUAUUUUGUAUGCACAUUCCUCUCCCCUCCCCAAAGUUUCUGCUUAAGAUAGUGUAUUGAACUGAGGUAAGAAGGGUAAUAGGGUAGGUCUAUGGAUAUAGGAGUGUCUGAAUUUUAAAAUGUUAAAUGUACUGCCCUGUUCCAAAUUAUUCAAAGUAUGGUGGAUUCAUGGACUAAAAAUCGAGACUUCUAAUUAGCAUUUUUAUCAUAUAAAUACUACUCAGAUGAAAACAGUUUUGAAUUCUGUAGAUAUAUCCAAGUUUAAAGCUGGCAUAAUCCAGAGGUCAUCUAGAGCUUCAUGAGAGAGAUUUUGCUGUUUUUUCCCCCCAGCUCUUCUAAGUCUGGAAGUUUGGGCUCCAGGCCAUCUAAGUCCACCAUAAGAAAUUAGAUUGGGCAUGUAGGAGAGAGACCCAAGAAAGUGGCUUAUAGAUCUCUGAAUACAUGUGAUGCUAUUAAAAAUGAUAAUUAAAUUUUCUGAAGUAUCUAAUACAAUCCCAAUUAGAAAAUGUAAAUAUAAACUUAUACCUCUGUAAAAUUGAAUGCUCAUGGGAUAAAAGAAUGAUUAUAUUGAGGUAUUAGGAUUAUAGGUGAAUUUUUUUCCUUUCUUAGACAUCCUCUACAUUGCUAUGUUGUUUUUGUAAUUAGAAAAGAAGGAAAAAAGAAAACUUGUUCUUAUUUCCACUGUCCAAAAUUGGCUGUUUUUUUAAAGUCUGGUCUUCUGAAACCAGGAUCUCAGGGUAAAUCACAGAGAAGUAACUCCCAAUUUAGCCUGGCUGUCAAAGUGACAAAAGCCAAAAAGGAUUCCUCGUACUUGGAUGAUGAGUUUUUUGUGGGUUUUUUGGGGAGAUUGGAGAGGGUGGUUGAUAGGGAAUAUAACAUUGUAUAAUAGUAUCUAAAACAUUAUCUCAUGGAGUACCAAGUCUAAUAAGUUUAUUUUCUAGGCAAUCCCCAUACACUAGGUCUGUUAAUGUUCCACACCCAACAAUGCAUUGUUAACAAUUACCACUUUACCAUCUGUGGUUGUUUCCUCAUGUUGUUACAGCUUUGCUCACGUUCACCUCUGGUGCUGUUGUUGGCAAUUACACAUAAAUUGCACUUCUAUAUAUGUUACAGGCCCAAUAGUAGGUUACAGUUGGCCUUUAACACAAGUAUGAACUAUAGAAGUCUAUAUGUAGAUCUGUAUGCAGAUAUUUGCAAUGAAUACAGUACAAUAACAUUAUUUUACUUAUGAUUUUAUUUACCAUUGGUUUCUUAAUUUUUGCUUAAUUUAUUUGAGAGCGAGAGAGCACACAAGCAAGGGGAACAGCAGAGGGAGAAGGGAUCCUGGUGCAGGGUCCCAUCCCCAGGGCUUAUGACCUAAGCUGAAGUCAGAUGCUUAACCAACUGAGCAACACACAGGUGCCCCUUAUUUAACAAAUUUCCUAAUAACCUUUUCAUUUCUAGCUUACUUUACUGUAAAUAUGUAAGGUAUAUGUACUACCUAUAAAAUAUAUGUUAAUCAACUUACUUGGUAAGGUUUUGGUUAAUAGCAGGUUGUUAAAUUUUGGGGGAGUCAAAAGUUAUAAGGGGAUAUUUGUGUAGGGGGGCAGUACCCCAACCCCAUGAUGUAUAUGGGUGAACUGUAUAUACAUAAUUUACAAAAUUACUUUUUAAUUCAUUUAAGAAAAGAAGUGGGAAAAAUAUGCAUUUAUGUAAUGGUGUUCUCUGGUCCUGUGGAUUUGUGUUACUGUCUGACAUCACUUGCUUUCACUCUGAAGAACUUCCUAGAAUAUCUUGUAAGAUGAGUUGGCCUGACAACAAAUUCUUUCAGUUUCUGUUUACCUGGGAAAGUCUUUAUUUCACUUUCAUUUUUUUAAGAAUAUGUUUGCUGGAUAUCACAGUCUUGGCUGAUAGUUUUUGUUUGUUUGUUUGUUUUUUACCAAUUUGAAUAUUUUCCCACUGCUUUCUGGCUUCCAUUGUUCCUGCUGAGAAGUCAGCUUUGGAUCUUACUGGGCUUCCUUGUAAGUGAUACUUUGUUUUUCUCCAGCUUUUCCCAAGAUAUUUUCCUUAUGUUUGAAUUUCAGCCUUUUUACUCUUCAUUGGGCUUCCUGGGUGGCUUAUUAUUUUUCAAUAAAGUUGGGAUGUGUUUUGCCAUUUUUCAAAUAUUAUCAUCUUUCUCUCCCAGUAUUCUCAGUUCAAGGGCUGCAAGGAUUAUAAAUUUGGUCAUCUGCUCUUAAUUACUGGGCCCCAGGCUGCUUUGCUUUUCAGGUUCCAGUGUUUGCUUUGUAGUUUUCUCUGUUGGCCUUUCACACUGUUGACUGCCACUGCUUGCUUCUGUGAGCUUAUUUCUUCUACUCUAACUUGGUAUUUCUCUGUUUCUACUCCAUUAUCUAGGAACCAGAUAUAACAACUACUUAAAGUAUGUCUAAAUAAAGAGCAACAUGGCUCUGCUUUUGAAACUCUGAAAGACCAUGCUCUGAGCUACAGUCUGACAGCCAAGACCAAGGCUACCCUACCCUGAGGUCGUGGUCCCGGGAUCCUGGGAUCCAGCCCCGCAUCGGGCUCCCUGCUCAGUGGGCAGCCUGCUUCUUCCUCUGCCCUUUUUCUGCCCUAAGGAAUCAUAGAUGGUCCACAGUUUGGAUGAAGAAUUGCAGACACAUGAGAAGUGGUGAAGGAAAUGAGGAAUGGGGUAAAAUGUGCAUCCCAAGAAGAGAAGACAUCAUGUUUGAAAGCCCUGAACUCAACAAGAAUGCUGUGUGUUUAAGAAACCAACGGAAUCCCACCCAACACAGGGAUGAAAGGCAAGCUUUGACUUCAAGUGCAGUUUCCUGUACCCAUCAGUGAUGGAGAAGUGAUACAGCUGACAGUAUUACAUGUGAGUAAGCCAAAGGUAUCUCAUAGCAAUCUUCUGGCUCAUAUCCUCUUACUUUCUUCGUAUUUUAAAUGAUUUGCAGUUUUUUUUUUUUUUUAAGAGAUCCAUUUUAUUUUCUUGUUGAGUUCCUGUUGAUCUGCUUAUCUCUGAUAUCCUGAAGACUUUGCUUUUUUCUCCCUGCCCCAGCUCUUCCAGUCUGGGGAAUUGAUAAAUGACAAUGUUGGGGCCAUAGGGGGAGAGACAGGCCUUAAGAGGUGCUGUAUAAAUCAUCAAAAUGUGAUGUACUAUACCUUCUCGGCAUAAACUGGAAAUUAAAAAAAAAAAAAAAGUGCUGCAAAUAGAAUUGCUUUCUUUGGGCUUAAACCGGAUUGGCAGCAACAGAGAUUCUGCUGUGGGCUGAAGUCAUUUUCUACUUUGGCACUACUCAGUCCAUGGGGAAUGGUGGAGUCAUGAUUUAGCAGCAAGGUUUUGGGAGCAGGCCAGCAUCUACAUCUGUUCUGAACUGUCAGUGGACUGGAAAAAUGCUUGAAAAAAAGCCAGAGGACAGAGGUAAAGGAGAACACAAAACCUUUAAUCUGAAAAAAGGCCACAAAAAUGGCUUGAUCAAUUACAAGGAGAUUGGAUUUAGA